UACGGAGGUGCAAGGCGUUAGUCCGGAUUCACUGGGUUAAAGGGUGCGUAGGUGGGUUGGUAAGUCAGUGGUGAAAUCUCCGAGCUUAACUUGGAAACUGCCGUUGAUACUAUCAAUCUUGAAUAUCGCGUAGGUAAGCGGAAUAUGUCAUGUAGCGGAUGAAUGCUUAGAUAUGACAUAGAACACCAAAGUUGCGAAGGCAGCUUACUUCACGAUCAUUGACACUGAGGCACGAAAGCGUGGGGAGCAAACAGG
Molecule: ribosomal RNA, 255 nt
Filed under: uncultured bacterium
Lineage: Bacteria
Description: partial 16S ribosomal RNA
Rfam family: Bacterial small subunit ribosomal RNA
Source: RNAcentral